This 544-nucleotide long non-coding RNA is filed under the name Homo sapiens (human). Its description in RNAcentral is "long non-coding RNA NONHSAT108555.2". Lineage: Eukaryota; Metazoa; Chordata; Mammalia; Primates; Hominidae. The record is from RNAcentral.
CUCCCACUCCAUGAGGUAUUUCAGCGCCGCCGUGUCCCGGCCCGGCCGCGGGGAGCCCCGCUUCAUCGCCAUGGGCUACGUGGACGACACGCAGUUCGUGCGGUUCGACAGCGACUCGGCGUGUCCGAGGAUGGAGCCGCGGGCGCCGUGGGUGGAGCAGGAGGGGCCGGAGUAUUGGGAAGAGGAGACACGGAACACCAAGGCCCACGCACAGACUGACAGAAUGAACCUGCAGACCCUGCGCGGCUACUACAACCAGAGCGAGGCCAUUCUCACACCCUCCAGUGGAUGAUUGGCUGCGACCUGGGGUCCGACGGACGCCUCCUCCGCGGGUAUGAACAGUAUGCCUACGAUGGCAAGGAUUACCUCGCCCUGAACGAGGACCUGCGCUCCUGGACCGCAGCGGACACUGCGGCUCAGAUCUCCAAGCGCAAGUGUGAGGCGGCCAAUGUGGCUGAACAAAGGAGAGCCUACCUGGAGGGCACGUGCGUGGAGUGGCUCCACAGAUACCUGGAGAACGGGAAGGAGAUGCUGCAGCGCGCGG